UACAGAGGUCUCAAGCGUUGUUCGGAUUCACUGGGCGUAAAGGGUGCGUAGGUGGUGAGGUAAGUCGGAUGUGAAAGCUCCGAGCUCAACUCGGAAAUGGCAUUGGAAACUACCCUGCUCGAGGGUUUGAGGGGGGACUGGAAUACUUGGUGUAGCAGUGAAAUGCGUAGAUAUCAAGUAGAACACCAGUGGCGAAGGCGAGUCCCUGGAAAACUCCUGACACUGAGGCACGAAAGCUAGGGGAGCAAACAGG
Molecule: ribosomal RNA, 253 nt
Filed under: uncultured bacterium
Lineage: Bacteria
Description: partial 16S ribosomal RNA
Rfam family: Bacterial small subunit ribosomal RNA
Source: RNAcentral